GACGAACGCUGGCGGCGUGCCUAAUACAUGCAAGUCGAACGGAAAGGUCCGGCGUUUGUGGGGCGCUCGAGUGGCGAACGGGUGAGUAACACGCGAGUAACACGCCCCUGACUUUGUGAUAACUUCAGGGAACUGGGGCGAAUAUCGGAUAUGAGCUCUUGCUCCACGGUGGGGGUUGGUAAGAUUCGGCGGUUGGGGAUGGACUCGCAGCUUAUCAGCUUGAUGGUCUGGUAGUGGCUUACCAAGGCUUUGACGGAUAGCCGGCCUGAGAGGGUGAACGGGCACAAUGGGACUGAGGGAGGGACCAGAAUCGAACGUGACGCAGCGGUGGGGAAUAUUGCGGAGUGGGGGGAAGCCAGAGGUGACGAUGCCGGGUGCGGGAUAAUGUGCUACGGGUUGUAAACCAAUUUCGCAGGUGCUGAGCAGUGCGUGACGGUAAUUGGUAAGAAAGCCCCGGCUAACUACGUG
RNAcentral lists this ribosomal RNA (468 nucleotides) under uncultured bacterium. RNAcentral describes it as "partial 16S ribosomal RNA". It matches the Rfam family "Bacterial small subunit ribosomal RNA", at positions 28 to 507 of the family's 1533-position model. The record is from RNAcentral.